RNAcentral lists this ribosomal RNA (305 nucleotides) under uncultured bacterium. RNAcentral describes it as "bacterial SSU rRNA". It matches the Rfam family "Bacterial small subunit ribosomal RNA", at positions 333 to 636 of the family's 1533-position model. The record is from RNAcentral.
UGUUUACAACGGGGGGCAGCAGUGAGGAAUAGUGGUCAAUGGGCCCGAGCCCGCCCCCGCCAAGUCGCGCGAGGGAAGACGGUACUAUGGAUUGUAAACCUCUUUUGCCGGGGAGCAAAAAGCGGUACGCGUACCGCAUCGAGAGUACCCGGAGAAAAAGCAUCGGCUAACUCCGUGCCAGCAGCCGCGGUAAUACGGAGGAUGCGAGCGUUAUCCGGAUUUAUUGGGUUUAAAGGGUGCGCAGGCGGCGAGUUAAGUCAGCGGUAAAAUUUCGGGGCUCAACCCCGACAAGCCGUGGAAACUGG